GGUGGGUUGGCCGAGUGGUUUAUGGCGCAGGUCUUGAAAACCUGUGGGAGCAAUCCCUCAGAGGUUCGAAUCCUCUACCCACCGCCU
This 87-nucleotide transfer RNA is filed under the name Candidatus Woesebacteria bacterium. RNAcentral describes it as "tRNA-Ser". It matches the Rfam family "tRNA". From Rfam's summary of the family: Transfer RNA (tRNA) molecules are approximately 80 nucleotides in length. Their secondary structure includes four short double-helical elements and three loops (D, anti-codon, and T loops). Lineage: Bacteria; Candidatus Woeseibacteriota. The record is from RNAcentral.